AGAGUUUGAUUCUGGCUCAGGAUGAACGCUGGCGGCGUGCCUAACACAUGCAAGUCGAGCGGAGUUAGAUGGAGACUCUCGGACGAUUCGUUAACUUAGCGGCGGAUGGGUGAGUAACACGUGGGUAACCUGCCCUGCAUUGGGGGAUAACAGCUGGAAACGGCUGUUAAUACCGCAUAUGCGCACGGAGCCGCAUGGCUUUGGGCGGAAAGAUUGCAUCGAUGCAGGAUGGGCCCGCGCCGGAUUAACUUGUUGGCAGGGUAACGGCCUACCAAGGUGAUGAUCCGUAGCCGGCCUGAGAGGGCGACCGGCCACAUUGGGACUGAGACACGGCCCAAACUCCUACGGGAGGCAGCAGUGGGGAAUAUUGCACAAUGGGCGCAAGCCUGAAUGCAGCGACGCCGCGUGAAGGAAGAAGUAUCUCGGUAUGUAAACUUCUAUCAGCGGGGAAGAAGAUGACGGUACCCGACUAAGAAGCCCCGGCUAACUACGUGCCAGCCGCAGC
RNAcentral lists this ribosomal RNA (505 nucleotides) under uncultured bacterium. Its description in RNAcentral is "bacterial SSU rRNA". It matches the Rfam family "Bacterial small subunit ribosomal RNA", at positions 8 to 518 of the family's 1533-position model. The record is from RNAcentral.